CCUACGGGAGGCAGCAGUGAGGAAUAUUGGGCAAUGGACGAGAGCCUGAACCAGCCAAGCAGCGUGAAGGAUGAAGGCCCUAUGGGUUGUAAACUUCUUUUAUAUGGGAAUAAAAUGUUCCACGUGUGGGAUUUUGUAUGUACCAUAUGAAUAAGGAUCGGCUAACUCCGUGCCAGCAGCGGCGGUAAUACGGAGGAUCCGAGCGUUAUCCGGAGUGAUUGGGUGUAAAGGGAGCGGAGGUGGGUUGUUAAGUCAGUUGUGAAAGUUUGCGGCUCAACCGUAAAAUUGCAGUUGAAACUGGCAGUCUUGAGUACAGUAGAGGUGGGCGGAAUUCGUGGUGUAGCGGUGAAAUGCUUAGAUAUCACGAAGAACUCCGGUUGCGAAGGCAGCUCACUGGACUGCAACUGACGCUGAGGCUCGAAAGUGUGGGUAUCAAACAGGAUUAGAUACCCUUGUAGUC
Molecule: ribosomal RNA, 460 nt
Filed under: uncultured bacterium
Lineage: Bacteria
Description: partial 16S ribosomal RNA
Rfam family: Bacterial small subunit ribosomal RNA
Source: RNAcentral